This 308-nucleotide long non-coding RNA is filed under the name Olea europaea (common olive). RNAcentral describes it as "long non-coding RNA (OEUR_LNC009118)". The record is from RNAcentral. Lineage: Eukaryota; Viridiplantae; Streptophyta; Magnoliopsida; Lamiales; Oleaceae.
AUCUCAAGUGAGGUUUUCUUUUAUUUUUCUUAUUAUUAGCUACUCUUCUGAAGUUGAAAGCUUUUUAAAAGAGCACUAUAGGACUUGAAAGGAUUCUGUCAUUUUGACAUUCUCAUAAUGGUUUCAACAUUGUCUAUAUACUCAAAUCUCGCUAUGACACACCAUGUUAUGGUGUUAGGAAACACGAAGUUAUCAAGAUGAUAUAACAAUGGGAAGCUAUUGGCUGAGAUAACUAGUACAUUGGCAAAACUUUGCCACAAAAAGUUACAAAUACCAGGAUGAUAUUUUGUUCAAAGCAUGAGCAGACC